Molecule: long non-coding RNA, 620 nt
Filed under: Rattus norvegicus (Norway rat)
Lineage: Eukaryota; Metazoa; Chordata; Mammalia; Rodentia; Muridae
Description: long non-coding RNA NONRATT029406
Source: RNAcentral
UCCGAGAUAGAAGAGCAGAUACACUUGUCAGUAGGGCAUUUGUUCCAAACUUGUGCUUCUAGCUUUUCAUUGACACCAUGCCUUCCAGUUCUGACGAGCUGAUUUUUUUUGUGAAUGGGAAAAAGGUCAUAGAGAAGAACCCUGUCCCUGAAAUGAAUCUCCUGUUCUACGUAAGGAAAGUUCUCCAUCUGACAGGCACUAAGUACAGCUGUGGAGGAGGAGGCUGUGGAGCCUGCACUGUGAUGAUCUCGAGAUACAAUCCCGAGUCCAAGAAGAUCUAGUAUCCUUUGCCCUGACCUGCCUCUGCUCUGGGCACCUCUGGGAAGAACGAGGAGCCUUCCCUGUGAAGACUCCACUUUUUCCUGUAAUUAUGCCUCACUCCCGAUGGAAUCGCACUAGGGUCUCUUUUUUCAAGUUAGAGCUUGGACCACACCACAGCCUCUGAUGCAGGAGAAUGGGAGGUGGCCCCGAGUUCAGUUUUAGGCAAGCAUUUAUAGAGGCAAGAAGUGGGUAUCUAGCAUGGCACACAUCUGGUUGGGGCCACAUACUAAACCAAAAAGGAAUAAAGGCAGGAAGGAUAAAUAUACGCCUAUGACAUCCUAAAUAUAACCUUUUCCAUC